Molecule: long non-coding RNA, 1939 nt
Filed under: Cyanistes caeruleus (blue tit)
Lineage: Eukaryota; Metazoa; Chordata; Aves; Passeriformes; Paridae
Description: lncRNA (ENSCCEG00000007116.1)
Source: RNAcentral
AUGGGACCCUGGAAUUCUGGGGCCGUGUCCCUGGGAUUUUGGGAAUGGGACCCGGGAAUUUUGGGAAUGGGACCCCGGAAUUUUGGAGCUGCAUCCCUGAAACUUUGGGGCCACGUCCCUGGAAUUCUGGGGCCUGGAAUUUUGGGAAUGGGACCCAGGAAUUUUGGGAAUGCAUUCCUGGGAUUCUGGGGCCGCGUUCCCGGGACGGUUUUUUGGGAAUGUGUCCCUGGAAUUUUGGGACUGUGUUCCUGGGAUGGUUUUUUUUGGGAUUUUGGGAACGCAUUCCCAGGAUGUUGUUUUUUUUGGGAACGUGUCCCCAGGAUUGUUUUUUUUUGGGAACGCAUUCCCAGGUUGUUUUUUUUGGGAACGUGUCCCUGGGAUUUUGGGAACGUGUCCCCGGGAAGGUUUUUUUUGGGAAUGCAUUCCCAGGAUGUUUUUUUGGGAACGUGUCCCCAGGAAGGUUUUUUUUGGGAACGCAUUCCCAGGUUGUUUCUUUUGGGAACGUGUCCCUGGGAUUUUGGGAAUGUGUCCCUGGGAUUUUGGGAAUGCAUUCCCAGGUUGUUGGAUUUUUUGGGAAUGUGUCCCCGGGAUUUUGGGAAUGCAUUCCCAGGAUGUUUUUUUGGGAACGUGUCCCCGGGAUGUUUUUUUUGGGAUUUUGGGAAUGCAUUCCCAGGUUGUUGGUUUUUUUGGGAACGUGUCCCCGGGAAGCCGCGGGGCUGCGAGAGGCUCUCAGGAAUUCUUUAUUCUGUAGGAAUCGAUUCCAUUAAACUCCAGUGGUUUCACCCCUGCUGUGCCCUGGCCUGGAUCCGCCUNNNNNNNNNNNNNNNNNNNNGGAUUUUCCAAGGAUUUUCCAAGGAUUUUCCAAGGAUUUUCCAAGGAUUUUCCAAGGAUUUUUCCCGGUUUUUUUUUGCGUUUUUCGGGAUGGCUGAAGCUGCUUAAAUUUUUUUUCUUAAUUUUUUUUUUUUGGUUUUUUUUUGGUUUUUUUCCCUUUUUUUUGGCGUUUUAUUCCCGUUUUUUUUUAUUUCAUUUUUCCCAAGUCGGGAAUGAGAGGAAUUUUCCCUUUUUUCCAUGGAUGAGAGGGGGGGAAAAACGGGAAAAACCAAAAAAAUCGGGAAAAAUCGGUCGGAAUCGGCCAUUCCCAAAAAAAUGUGUAAAUAAGAGAGGAAAUUAAAGUUUCUACCGGAUUUAGAUGGAAAAAAAAAUUCCCAAAAAAUAGAAAAACUAUGGAAAAAUGGCUUUGAUCCCGCGGUUUUCCGGCGUUUCAGUGCCUUGAGCUGGAUUUGGGGUGGAGGGAGGGAGAGGGGCUGGAAUUCCGGGAAUUUUCCCACUCUGGAAUCCCGGGAAUGUUUUCCCCCCCUGGAAUUCCGGGAAUUUUCCCGCCCUGGAAUUCCGGGAGUUUUCCCCCCUGGAAUUCCGGGAAUUUUCCCCCCUGGAAUCCCGGGAAUGUUUUCCCCCUUGGAAUUCCGGGAAUUUUCCCCUUGGAAUUCUGGGAAUUUUCCCCCUGGAAUUUUGGGAAUUUUCCCCCCUGGAAUUUUAGGGAAUGUUCCCCCCUGGAAUUUUAGGGAAUGUUCCCCCCUGGAAUUUUUUGGGGUUGGAUCCCCUGGGAUUUUUGGGAAUGGGACCCCGGAAUUUUGGGAACGCGUUCCCGGGAUUCCGGGGCCGCGUUCCCGGGAUGGUUCUGGGAUUGUGUCCCUGGAAUUUUGGGAAUCUUUCCCUGGAAUUUUGGGGCCACGUCCUCAGAAUUUUGGAGCUGCAUCCCUGGGAUUUUGGGAAUGGGACCCGGGAAUUUUGGGAACGGGACCCCGGAAUUUUGGGAACGGGACCCGGGAAUUUUGGGAACGGGACCCCGGAAUUUUGGGAACGGGACCCCGGAAUUUUGGAGCUGCAUCCCUGAAACUUUGGGGCCACGUCCCUGGAAUUCUGGGGCCUGGAAUUUUGG